This 298-nucleotide long non-coding RNA is filed under the name Gossypium barbadense (sea-island cotton). Its description in RNAcentral is "long non-coding RNA (GBAR_LNC020039)". Lineage: Eukaryota; Viridiplantae; Streptophyta; Magnoliopsida; Malvales; Malvaceae. The record is from RNAcentral.
UAGGAUACAAAUGACAUGUCAUUAGGGUUACCAUGUUUCGGGUGCUGGUUCUAAAUGUCCUACUGGUGGCUGAGUUUCGGCAUGUGUUAUGGAUACUUGACAACUUGUGUGAGUAGCGCCGUAUAGCUAUGUUCUGACCGACAGCUUGUGUGAGCAGAUCUAUUUAUGGCUCGAGAGAGAGCAUCUAUGUAAAGGGAAAGGAAAGAAUUGGUUUUGACCAUAUGUUAGCAUACAGUGUGUGAGAUUCCUGCGUAUCCAAUAUUAUUCUAAGUGGUUUAACGGGCAUACAAAGGGAAGG